This 96-nucleotide transfer RNA is filed under the name Alphaproteobacteria bacterium. Its description in RNAcentral is "tRNA-Leu". The record is from RNAcentral. Lineage: Bacteria; Pseudomonadati; Pseudomonadota; Alphaproteobacteria.
GCGGGGGGAGGUGAUCCAUAUGAGACAUAGUUAGACACAGGGGACUUAAAAUCCCUCAGCCUCACGGCCUUGCCGGUUCAAGUUCGGCCGCCCGCA